CGGCGGCGGCCUACACAUGCAGUCGAGCGGUUGAGGGAGGCUUGCUUCCUGAUUCAGCGGCGGACGGGUGAGUAAUGCCUAGGAAUCUGCCUGGUAGUGGGGGACAACGUUUCGAAAGGAACGCUAAUACCGCAUACGUCCUACGGGAGAAAGCAGGGGACCUUCGGGCCUUGCGCUAUCAGAUGAGCCUAGGUCGGAUUAGCUAGUUGGUGAGGUAAUGGCUCACCAAGGCGACGAUCCGUAACUGGUCUGAGAGGAUGAUCAGUCACACUGGAACUGAGACACGGUCCAGACUCCUACGGGAGGCAGCAGUGGGGAAUAUUGGACAAUGGGCGAAAGCCUGAUCCAGCCAUGCCGCGUGUGUGAAGAAGGUCUUCGGAUUGUAAAGCACUUUAAGUUGGGAGGAAGAGCAGUCAGCGAAUACCUUGCUGUCUUGACGUUACCGACAGAAUAAGCACCGGCUAACUCUGUGCCAGCAGCCGCUGUAAU
RNAcentral lists this ribosomal RNA (489 nucleotides) under uncultured bacterium. Its description in RNAcentral is "bacterial SSU rRNA". It matches the Rfam family "Bacterial small subunit ribosomal RNA", at positions 38 to 524 of the family's 1533-position model. The record is from RNAcentral.